RNAcentral lists this transfer RNA (79 nucleotides) under Paraphaeosphaeria sporulosa. It matches the Rfam family "tRNA". From Rfam's summary of the family: Transfer RNA (tRNA) molecules are approximately 80 nucleotides in length. Their secondary structure includes four short double-helical elements and three loops (D, anti-codon, and T loops). Lineage: Eukaryota; Fungi; Ascomycota; Dothideomycetes; Pleosporales; Didymosphaeriaceae. The record is from Rfam by way of RNAcentral.
GGCCGUGUGGCCCAAUGGCAAGGCGCUUGACUACGAUGAGUAAAUCAAGAGAUUCCAGGUUCGACCCCUGGCACGGUCA